Molecule: long non-coding RNA, 745 nt
Organism: Mastomys coucha (southern multimammate mouse)
Lineage: Eukaryota; Metazoa; Chordata; Mammalia; Rodentia; Muridae
Exons: 3
Source: RefSeq, a predicted model, not a curated record
UGAAUGGGCAAAGAAAAUGUGAUGCAUACAGACAUGGUUACCAAUACAUGAUUGUGUGAAGUUCAAUCUUUUUAGUGAGCACGGGAGACUUCUUCUUAAAGUAGGACAGCAUUUGUGUAAGAGCCACAGCAACACCAGGAGAAGAAGCCCCAGGAUUUAAGGAGUCAUCAAAAGAGCCUGGUGUAACCUGGUAACCAUGUAACAAGGUUGAAGGACUGGAAGAGAACCAGAGAGAGGCGGCUGGUGAUGUUGUAGCCGGUGGAGACCCCAGGGUUUUAGAGAUGGCAGGACUGGGAUGAGCACCAAGGACAGCAACAGCUGUGGAGGAGGCUGGCCUGAGCCUAUGAGAGACACCGGAUGAGUGACUCAACUAUAAGAAGACCAGACAGCCUUUGUCCUCAGGGAAAUAUGUAAAACAGGAACAAAAUCAGCAGUGUCCCGUUGACCAGAAAGCUGGCAAAAAGAUUGGUCUACAGAAGAACAGAGGAGUCUUCACAAAGAGAGAAAAUCUAUAAGCCUAAUAUUUUACAUAAAUGCAUUGACAAGUUACUGAAAUUCAUAGAAAUGGAAACUUUCAGAUUGGGAAAAAAAGGGUUCUGUGGAAGAGUGAUAAUAAGACACAUACAUGCUGACAAAAACAUACAGAAUGAAGAGUGAGUGGAAAACCCUGUAGAAGACAUUCAACUCCUCCAUGGCCCACAACACAUCACAAAAGAUAAAGCAAAAGAUGGUAAGAGUUGAAGGA